GACUGGAAUAAGUAUGAUGACAAGCUGAUGAAGGCAGUGGAGAGGAGGGAGGUAGACAAGGUCGCAGCAGUGCUCGGCAAGAAGGGCAUCAUCCCCACCAAACUUGACGUAGAGGGCCGCUCUGCGUUCCAUCUUGCUGCCUCCAGAGGACAUCUCGACUGCCUGAAUCUCAUUCUUAAUCAUGGUGUGGAUAUCACAGCCACGGAUGCCACAGG
Molecule: long non-coding RNA, 215 nt
Organism: Sinocyclocheilus grahami
Lineage: Eukaryota; Metazoa; Chordata; Actinopteri; Cypriniformes; Cyprinidae
Exons: 2
Source: RefSeq, a predicted model, not a curated record